Molecule: non-coding RNA, 127 nt
Organism: Picea glauca (white spruce)
Lineage: Eukaryota; Viridiplantae; Streptophyta; Pinopsida; Pinales; Pinaceae
Source: Rfam
UCUUAUGUACAUGCCUACAACAUAGUGUUAAUGCAUCAGAUCCCAUUAGAACUCCAUAGUUAAGCGCCCUCAGGCUAGAGUAGUACUGGGGUGGAUAACCGUGUUGAUGAAUGCAGCUAUGUGAGAC